RNAcentral lists this ribosomal RNA (500 nucleotides) under uncultured bacterium. RNAcentral describes it as "partial 16S ribosomal RNA". It matches the Rfam family "Bacterial small subunit ribosomal RNA", at positions 30 to 523 of the family's 1533-position model. The record is from RNAcentral.
AUUGAACGCUGGCGGAAUGCUUUACACAUGCAAGUCGAACGGCAGCACGGACUUCGGUCUGGUGGCGAGUGGCGAACGGGUGAGUAAUGUAUCGGAACGUGCCCAGUCGUGGGGGAUAACGUAGUGAAAAUUACGCUAAUACCGCAUACGAUCUAGGGAUGAAAGCGGGGGAUCGCAAGACCUCGCGCGAUUGGAGCGGCCGAUAUCAGAUUAGGUAGUUGGUGGGGUAAAGGCCCACCAAGCCAACGAUCUGUAGCUGGUCUGAGAGGACGACCAGCCACACUGGAACUGAGACACGGUCCAGACUCCUACGGGAGGCAGCAGUGGGGAAUUUUGGACAAUGGGCGAAAGCCUGAUCCAGCCAUUCCGCGUGCAGGAUGAAGGCCCUCGGGUUGUAAACUGCUUUUGUACAGAACGAAAAGGUUUCUACUAAUACUAGGAGCUCAUGACGGUACUGUAAGAAUAAGCACCGGCUAACUACGUGCCAUCCGCCGCGGUAA